CUUGCCGGAGUCGGAGUAGCCGACCAUCACCUGCUGCUUGCCGUUGAUGUGGUUGAUGUACCAGUCAGUGGAGAAGAGCUUCUCCACGGACGCCGGCGCCGCCUGCAGGUCGGCCAGCCUCUCGAACAGCGGCACCACGGGGAGCGUCUGGCGAAUGCCACACUCGCGCUGCAGGAGCUCGACGGCGAGCACGUCCGAGGGCGCCGUGCACAUGGAGAUGAUGUAGGGGCCGAAGCUGUCGAUCGGGAGCUCGGCCAGGACGCGCAUGGCGCCGAUGACGUCGGCGAUCUCCUCGGUCAUGGGAAGGUCCGGGGGCAGCAGUGGGCGCUUGCCUUUCAGCUCCGACACCAGCCACUCCAUCCGCUUGUCCUCGGGCCACGAGCGGUACGACCCGAUGCCGAGGUGCGUGGUGAUGGCGUCGAUCACGUCGGUGUGCCGCUCCGACUCCUGCCGGAUGUCCAGCUUCACCAGGGAGAGACCGAACGCGAACACCUGGCGAAGGAGGUCCAGGAGGCUCCCGUCGGCGAUGGCCUUGUCGCCGCACUCACACAGGGAUUUGUAGCACAGCUCAAGGGGCUCAAGGAACUGCACGCAUGAGAUGCAUUUUUUUUUGUGCGACAGUAAGAAUCAGACCGAAAUGUACUAGUACAUCAUAUUAUUGAUUGAUCGCUUAAAUCACAUUUCAGUUUCACAAAAGGAAUAAAAUUAAGGAACUUGCCGAUUUAUUUACC
RNAcentral lists this long non-coding RNA (731 nucleotides) under Sorghum bicolor (sorghum). RNAcentral describes it as "long non-coding RNA (SBIC_LNC018062)". The record is from RNAcentral. Lineage: Eukaryota; Viridiplantae; Streptophyta; Magnoliopsida; Poales; Poaceae.